GGUCUGAGCCAGUGCCUUGCGAUCUUCUGCGAGGAUCUCGAGGAGGUAGAGCAGGGCCCAUUUGUUGUUAACAGUGGUGGCUCUGGCGGCGAACUUGGAGUAUAAGUCGGCGAACGAGAGUGCGUCGGCGGAGCGGCCGUGAGGGGCGAGGCGGCGUUUGAUUUGUUCCGCGGCCGCGGGCGGGGUCGGGGGGGAGUCGGCGAACGAGAGUGCGUCGGCGGAGCGGCCGUGAGUGGCGAGACGGCGUUUGAUUUGUUCGGCGACGGCGGCGGCGUCGGGGGCGGAGAGAGAGGGGUUGAGGCGGCUGGAGAGGAUGCGGAGGGCGUAGCGGAGGGGUUUUUGAAAUUCCGGGGAGUUAGGGUUUAGUGGUGGUGAGUCGGCGGGG
RNAcentral lists this long non-coding RNA (385 nucleotides) under Lotus japonicus. Its description in RNAcentral is "long non-coding RNA (LJAP_LNC001238)". The record is from RNAcentral. Lineage: Eukaryota; Viridiplantae; Streptophyta; Magnoliopsida; Fabales; Fabaceae.